This is a non-coding RNA of Vigna umbellata (rice bean), 2094 nucleotides long. NCBI's taxonomy places the organism in Eukaryota, Viridiplantae, Streptophyta, Magnoliopsida, Fabales, Fabaceae. The record is from RefSeq and is a predicted model, not a curated record.
UUCGUCAUCUAAUGUGGAACAUAACACCCAGUUCUUACCAGUCCGAGACAGGGAUAACUAUUUGAAUUUUUAUACACAUUAUGCUCGGCCAAUGCAUGAAAUCACAAUUUCAACAAAUGACAAGCCAAAACUUCUGAGUCAGCUGACUUCCUUACUUUCUGAGACUGGGUUGGACAUUCUAGAAGCACAUGCUUUUUCGACAACAGACGGCUAUUCGUUGGAUGUUUUUGUUGUUGGUGGUUGGCCAAUAGAGGAGACGAAGAAAUUAAAACAUGAACUAGCAAAGAAAAUUCAGAAACUCCAGCAACAUCAAUUGAAAGAAAAUGGGAGUCUUCCUACUAGUACUACUGCAAAGCAAGAGCAAACCGGGAUGAACUUUAUCUGGAGAAUUGAUGCCGGGCGUCUGAGAUAUGAAAAGAAAAUUGCAUCUGGACCUUUGACUGAUUUGUAUAAAGGUACAUUCUGCAAUCAAGAUGUAGCUAUCAAGGUUUUAAAGCACGAGAAUUUGAAUGAAAAUAUACAAAGGGAGUUUGCUCAGGAAGUGUAUAUCCUAAGUAAAAUUCAGCACAAAAAUGUAGUUAAAUUUGUUGGCGCUUGUACAAAACCCCCAAACCUGUACCUGGUCACAGAAUACAUGCCUGGUGGAAGUAUGUUCGACUUUUUGCAUAAACAGAAGACCGCCCUUGCUCUUCCAUGUUUACUCAAAGUGGCCAUUGAUGUUUCCGAAGGAAUGAAAUAUUUGCAUCAGAAUAAUAUCAUACAUCGUGACCUUAAAGCGGCUAAUCUUUUGAUAGAUGAGAAUGGGGUAGUUAAGGUUGCUGAUUUUGGUGUGGCUAGAGUGCACAAUCAGUCUGGCAUAAUGACUGCAGAAACAGGAACUUAUCGGUGGAUGGCUCCAGAGGCAUGGAUGGGGCUGUUUAAGGACACGAUAGGCAGCAGUUUUUGAUGUAAUAAGAUGAAUCUAGACAGGUUGGAAUGAGAAUGAUGAUUUUUUUUUUUUUUUCUGAUAAACAAUACUUAAUGCUAACAUGGUUUCAGUACUGCUUUUGGUUGCCCAUGCGCUUUGCAAAAGAAAAAUGUAACAAUAUCCAAUAAAAUACAAUGGUAGGCACUCUGGUUUUUUUCAUGGAGGCUUUAGUUGCUUAUGUAAAACAACUAAAAAAACUGAUAUUUCUUGUAUUCUACUGCUUACUGUAUUGAUUAUUAUUAAACUUGUGAUUCCCUUGACAUAUGGAAGGUUAUUGAACAUAGACCAUAUGAUCACAAAGCCGAUGUCUUUAGCUUUGCCAUUGUGCUUUGGGAACUGCUCACAGGAAAGGUAGCACCUUUCCCUUUUACUUUCUCUUGUUUGAUAUUCAUGGAACCAAAAACUAGUUUCCAAAUGAAAACUGAUUUACUCUCUCUACUCUGUAAACUAUAUUAACCUCUUCAUAUUGAAGAAGUACUGAGCAGAAAUUCCUAGGUACUUUGAUUCGUAUAGGAUUAAUAGAUAGUGUACAACAUGGCAUAGAGUAGAACAAAAGUGAGUAACAGUAUUUAACAGAAAUGGAGAACAAAGACUUAGUAGGUAUACUUUAGACAUUGUUUUAUCAGUAUUUUCGUUCAGUAUUACUUUACUUGCUCAGACUUCACAUCUUUCGCCUAUGUUUUAUGACUACACGACAGCUUCCUUAUGAGCAUUUGUCCCCAUUGCAAGCAGCAGUAGGAGUGAUCCAGAAGGGUUUAAGGCCUAAAAUUCCAAGCCAUAGUCAUUCAAAGUUGGUGGAAUUGCUUCACUGGUGUUGGCACCACGAUUCAUCUUUGAGACCCAAUUUCUCAGAAAUUCUGGAAUUUCUGCUACGUGUGACCAAGACGGUUACUGGGGAAUGUGAAGGCUAGGGAAUGCAUGAAAAUUAUAUUCACCAAACUCACUGUAUGUACACAUAGACAUGUGUGAUUUCUCAAUUUAAAGUAAAGGUUCGUGAUUGGAUUAUGAAGUUGAUAUUAGCCUUUUGGGUAGAUGUAUAUAAACUUGGAUUUAUAAAUGAUAGGAAGAAAAACAAAUAACAUAAUUGUAUUGUGAAAGUGGUGUAUGUUGCACUUAUUCUAAGUUAA